CCCCAGUGACAGGCCAUCAACAGUCCAAUGAAGACAUGAAGACCCAAUGUCUUCAUUGGACUGCUGAUGGCCUGUCACUGGGA
Molecule: microRNA precursor, 83 nt
Organism: Gorilla gorilla gorilla (western lowland gorilla)
Lineage: Eukaryota; Metazoa; Chordata; Mammalia; Primates; Hominidae
Rfam family: mir-4529 microRNA precursor family
Source: Rfam